CAUAUCAAUAAGCGGAGGAAAAGAAACCAACAGGGAUUGCCUCAGUAACGGCGAGUGAAGCGGCAACAGCUCAAAUUUGAAAUCCGGCCUCUUCGGGGCCCGAGUUGUAAUUUGUAGAGGGUGUUUCGGGCGAGGCGCCGGCCUAAGUUCCUUGGAACAGGGCGUCAUAGAGGGUGAGAAUCCCGUCUGCGGCCGGCGACCGACCCCAUGUGAAACCCCUUCGACGAGUCGGGUUGUUUGGGAAUGCAGCUCUAAAUGGGUGGUAAAUUUCAUCUAAAGCUAAAUACCGGCCAGAGACCGAUAGCGCACAAGUAGAGUGAUCGAAAGAUGAAAAGCACUUUGGAAAGAGAGUUAAACAGUACGUGAAAUUGUUGAAAGGGAAGCGCUUGCAACCAGACCUGUCUCCGGGUGAUCAGCCGCCGUUCUCGGUGGUGUACUCGCCCGGCGCAGGCCAGCAUCGGUUCGGGCGGUCGGAUAAAGGCCUUGGGAAUGUGGCUCCCCUCGGGGAGUGUUAUAGCCCUCGGUGCAAUGCGGCCGCCUGGACCGAGGACCCGCGCUUCGGCUAGGAUGCUGGCGUAAUGGUUGUAAGCGGCCCGUCUUGAAACACGGACCAAGGAGUCGAUCAUCUAUGCGAGUGUUUGGGUGUCAAACCCAUGCGCGGAAUGAAAGUGAACGGAGGUGAGAACUCUUAAGAGCGCAUCAUCGACCGAUCCAGAUGUUUUCGGACGGAUUUGAGUAAGAGCAUGGCCGAUCGGACCCGAAAGAUGGUGAACUAUGCCUGAAUAGGGUGAAGCCAGAGGAAACUCUGGUGGAGGCUCGCAGCGGUUCUGACGUGCAAAUCGAUCGUCAAAUUUGGGUAUAGGGGCGAAAGACUAAUCGAACCAUCGGAUUUUUUUACGCUACUAGGUGGUUAAUUGAGACGGUAUAGGCUGUGAGAGGUCUUUCGAGCCUGUCAAGCUUACGCCGUCCCCAGUCCUUCGGGGCAACGCCAUCACCUGCAUGGAUUUCUGAGCUUGCUCAGAUCAACAUGCUGCAGAGGCUUCUUAAGAGCCCUGUACACAGGUCAGACGAUGGUGGUCCGCGUGACGUGAUACACGUCAGACGCGGUUCAGAUAUGAUCGAGUCCUUCUCGUAUCCGAGUUGACUUUGGAGAUCUCUUGAUAUCGGUGGCACUGCGUCUUCGAGAACCGUGGGAUGUGACUGAGACUUAUAGUAGACCUUCAAAGUCGUGAAUAACGCUAGUAGCUGGUUCCUGUCGAAGUUUCCCUCAGGAUAGCAGUAACGUUUUCAGUUUUAUGAGGUAAAGCGAAUGAUUAGAGGCCUUGGGGAUGCAACAUCCUUAACCUAUUCUCAAACUUUAAAUAUGUAAGAAGUCCUUGUUACUUAGUUGAACGUGGACAUUUGAAUGUAUCGUUACUAGUGGGCCAUUUUUGGUAAGCAGAACUGGCGAUGCGGGAUGAACCGAACGUGGGGUUAAGGUGCCGGAAUGCACGCUCAUCAGACACCACACACGGAACGAGGGAUUAUUUGUGGUGUCGAAAUCCAGAGCAGACAUGCUCUCGGAGCAGUCGCUGCGUCAAAGCAGUGGCAAGGUUCUCGAUCUCUUGGGAAUUAUCGGCAACCGCCGGUAUACCCUAAGCCAUUCAGGUGGCUCACAGAUCAAGCCGGAGCCGGGGGUUCAACCGGAACCCCUUGAGAUAUGAUCGGCUUUGGGGCGUCAGUCCCAAAUCUUCGCGCAAAAGGUGUUAGUUCAUCUAGACAGCAGGACGGUGGCCAUGGAAGUCGGAAACCGCUAAGGAGUGUGUAACAACUUACCUGCCGAAUGAACUAGCCCUGAAAAUGGAUGGCGCUCAAGCGUGCUACCUAUACCCCGC
RNAcentral lists this ribosomal RNA (1874 nucleotides) under Tholurna dissimilis. RNAcentral's name for it is "eukaryotic LSU rRNA". It matches the Rfam family "Eukaryotic large subunit ribosomal RNA", at positions 39 to 1352 of the family's 3401-position model. The record is from RNAcentral. Lineage: Eukaryota; Fungi; Ascomycota; Lecanoromycetes; Caliciales; Caliciaceae.